Molecule: small RNA, 600 nt
Filed under: Myriospora tangerina
Lineage: Eukaryota; Fungi; Ascomycota; Lecanoromycetes; Acarosporales; Acarosporaceae
Description: eukaryotic LSU rRNA
Rfam family: Eukaryotic large subunit ribosomal RNA
Source: RNAcentral
GGUUGACCUCGGAUCAGGUAGGGAUACCCGCUGAACUUAAGCAUAUCAAUAAGCGGAGGAAAAGAAACCAACAGGGAUUGCCUCAGUAACGGCGAGUGAAGCGGCAACAGCUCAAAUUUGAAAUCUGGCCCUCGCAGGGUCCGAGUUGUAAUUUGUAGAGGAUGCUUCGGGUUCGGCUCCGGUCUAAGUUCCUUGGAACAGGACGUCACAGAGGGUGAGAAUCCCGUACGUGACCGGCCGCCAUGCCCGUGUGAAGCUCCUUCGACGAGUCGAGUUGUUUGGGAAUGCAGCUCAAAAUGGGUGGUAAAUUUCAUCUAAAGCUAAAUACUGGCCAGAGACCGAUAGCGCACAAGUAGAGUGAUCGAAAGAUGAAAAGCACUUUGGAAAGAGAGUUAAAAAGUACGUGAAAUUGUUGAAAGGGAAGCGCUUGCAACCAGACUUGCCCGCGGGUGAUCAGCCGGUAUUCUUACCGGUGCACUCGCCCGUGGUCAGGCCAGCAUCGGUUUGGGCGGCUGGACAAAGGCCUCCGGAAUGUAGCUCCCCUCGGGGAGUGUUAUAGCCGGGGGUGCAAUGCGGCCAGCCCGGACCGAGGACCGCGCU